CGACAGAUGCGGUAUUGUUUAGAUGGGUGGUUUGAAUAGUUCGUCCAGAGAAAAUUGUUUAUAGAAAAGAGAUUUGGCGAAAUAUGGUGCUUGUUUAUUGCUGUGAUGGAUACAUCCAAGACAAUUAUUGCGGCUUCAUCAGUGGGGUGUAUUUUUGUUUCAUUCAAUGUCUGAUCUGAUUAUAAACAUAACCACAGGGACGGCACAUCGAUUGGUGACGAGCAGGACGGGGCCAACAAGCCUAGGAGGAGGAGGAGCUCCAUCCGCAGCAGCUCAUGCUCAUGGAGGAACAAGUCUGAAUCGUUGCUGUUACUCUGCUGUCCUGGAGUCACCAUCCACAGUAGCCGUGGUGUGGCUGAGCCUCUGCUACGGCUACAACCUCCCUCUGGUGAGCUCCUCCCUGUUCCUUCUUCUCUGAUGUAGCUCCUGCAUGGCCUUGGCCAUGAUUUGGGUUGGAUGUGGGGCUCUACUAGUUGCUGCUAGAUGUUGUAACCAAGCAUCAACUCCUACUGGAGCUCUCUGGUGAUAAAUUCAUGCGGUUCUAGGGUCUGUCAGUAGCUGCCCAUGUGUACUUGCUUUAUAUAUAUGCUCCUAUGAUGCUCUAGUGAUAUGGGGUGGCUAAUAUCAAGAUCAUGUUGGUGUUGAUGCUUAUCUUGCAUGUCUCUGGUGGUGGUGGUGUUGACAGCAGUUACACACCUAGCUUGUAACUAAUAUCAUUACUGCUAAUUUACCUCAAGUUUAUCUGAACAUGGUUGAAAUGAGCGCUGCAAAUUUUGAUGUCUAAAAUCAAUUUUUACCCCAAGUCCUUAAGUAAUUAUUUUCAUUACAUCACAGUUAGCUGAGAAUAUUGACUUGAAUAUUUUAUGUAUGCCCUGAUGCAUGUACACAUACGGUUGAGCAAAUACCGAGCUGCAGUGGAACAACCUGGAGUUAGAGAACUUCAAGGACAAGAUCAACGAGGUGACCGGCGUUAUGGCGGCUGUGUACGGUGGCGACCACAAGUUCUUCGAUGCUAGGCUUUCAUGUUUCUUCGUGAGCAUCAGGACAAAGAAGUCGGAGGUAGAAUAGUUCUAGCUCAUUGGAGCUAGUUCUGAGAGUAAUGAAGCCCUUUCUGCUGCUCCUAUUUGUAUGUGUGUUAUAUGAUGUAGCAGAAUCUGGCUCAUGUGAUUGUACACUUGUGGAGCUUGUUAUCUAAUUGUAAACUUGAUGCUGAUCACAUUUGUAUGUGUGUUAUAUGAUGUAACGCUUUGAUGGUUGAUAAUA
Aegilops tauschii subsp. strangulata is the source of this 1263-nucleotide long non-coding RNA. RefSeq lists it as uncharacterized. Lineage: Eukaryota; Viridiplantae; Streptophyta; Magnoliopsida; Poales; Poaceae. The record is from RefSeq and is a predicted model, not a curated record.